Molecule: non-coding RNA, 72 nt
Filed under: unclassified sequences
Description: narK RNA
Rfam family: narK RNA
Source: RNAcentral
GGCACAGAUCUCGCANAGUAAUCGACUACAGGUAACCAACGGCGGUUGCCCCACCUACGACAAAGACGUCGC